RNAcentral lists this ribosomal RNA (246 nucleotides) under uncultured bacterium. Its description in RNAcentral is "partial 16S ribosomal RNA". It matches the Rfam family "Bacterial small subunit ribosomal RNA", at positions 112 to 354 of the family's 1533-position model. The record is from RNAcentral.
CGGACGUGAGGGAACCUGCCUUGGAGUGGGGAAGUAACAGCUGGAAACAGCUGCUAAUACCGCAUAAUAUAUCUGGGGCCGCAUGGCUCUGGAUACCAAAGAUUUAUCGCUCUGAGAUGGACUCGCGUCUGAUUAGCUGGUUGGCGGGGUAACGGCCCACCAAGGCGACGAUCAGUAGCCGGACUGAGAGGUUGGCCGGCCACAUUGGGACUGAGACACGGCCCAGACUCCUACGGAAGGCAGCAG